CCUUCAGGUGGGGAAUAACCCAGUGAAAACUGGGCUAAUACCGCAUAACAUGACGAUGGCACAUGCUGUUGUCUUCAAAGGCGCAAGUCGCCAAAGAGGGAUCCGGGCCGAUUACUUGUUGGGAGUAAAUGGUCACCAAGGCUUGAUCGGUACCGGACUGAAGGUUGGCGGCCACACUGGAACUGAAACACGGUCCAGACUCCUACGGGAGGCAGCAGUGGGGAAUCUUGCACCAAUGGACGAAAGUCUGAUGCAGCAACGCCGCGUGGGGGAUGAAGCUUUUCGGAGUGUAAACCCCUUUCGACCCGGAAGAAUGCCCGCAAGGGUUUGACGGUACGGGUAUAAGAAGCCCCGGCUAACUACGUGCCAGCAAGCCGCGGAAAUACGUAGGGGGCCAGCGUUGCUCGGAA
RNAcentral lists this ribosomal RNA (410 nucleotides) under uncultured bacterium. Its description in RNAcentral is "bacterial SSU rRNA". It matches the Rfam family "Bacterial small subunit ribosomal RNA", at positions 129 to 550 of the family's 1533-position model. The record is from RNAcentral.